AGAGUUUGAUCAUGGCUCAGAUUGAACACUGGCGGCAGGCUUAACACAUGCAAGUCGAGCGGAGAUAAGGUGCUUGCACCUUAUCUUAGCGGCGGACGGGUGAGUAAUGCUUAGGAAUCUGCCUAUUAGUGGGGGACAACAUUCCGAAAGGAAUGCUAAUACCGCAUACGUCCUACGGGAGAAAGCAGGGGAUCUUCGGACCUUGCGCUAAUAGAUGAGCCUAAGUCGGAUUAGCUAGUUGGUGGGGUAAAGGCCUACCAAGGCGACGAUCUGUAGCGGGUCUGAGAGGAUGAUCCGCCACACUGGGACUGAGACACGGCCCAGACUCCUACGGGAGGCAGCAGUGGGGAAUAUUGGACAAUGGGGGGAACCCUGAUCCAGCCAUGCCGCGUGUGUGAAGAAGGCCUUAUGGUUGUAAAGCACUUUAAGCGAGGAGGAGGCUACUGAGACUAAUACUCUUGGAUAGUGGACGUUACUCGCAGAAUAAGCACCGGCUAACUCUGUGCCAGCAGCCGCGGUAAUACAGAGGGUGCGAGCGUUAAUCGGAUUUACUGGGCGUAAAGCGUGCGUAGGCGGCUUUUUAAGUCGGAUGUGAAAUCCCCGAGCUUAACUUGGGAAUUGCAUUCGAUACUGGGAAGCUAGAGUAUGGGAGAGGAUGGUAGAAUUCCAGGUGUAGCGGUGAAAUGCGUAGAGAUCUGGAGGAAUACCGAU
RNAcentral lists this ribosomal RNA (711 nucleotides) under Moraxellaceae bacterium enrichment culture clone JUMSS254PW-41(R14). Its description in RNAcentral is "bacterial SSU rRNA". It matches the Rfam family "Bacterial small subunit ribosomal RNA", at positions 8 to 713 of the family's 1533-position model. The record is from RNAcentral. Lineage: Bacteria; Pseudomonadati; Pseudomonadota; Gammaproteobacteria; Moraxellales; Moraxellaceae.